Molecule: ribosomal RNA, 253 nt
Filed under: uncultured bacterium
Lineage: Bacteria
Description: partial 16S ribosomal RNA
Rfam family: Bacterial small subunit ribosomal RNA
Source: RNAcentral
GACAGAGGGUGCAAACGUUGUUCGGAAUUACUGGGCGUAAAGCGCGCGCAGGCGGUCCUUUAAGUCUGAUGUGAAAGCCCCGGGCUCAACCUGGGAAUUGCAUUCGAGACUGCAUAGCUAGGGUGCGGAAGAGGGAAGCGGAAUUCCCGGUGUAGCGGUGAAAUGCGCAGAUAUCGGGAGGAACACCAAUGGCGAAGGCAGCUCGCUGGGACGGUACUGACGCUGAGACGCGAAAGCGUGGGGAGCAAACAGG